UUGUUGGGCGUAGGCUACCCUUUUAAGGCCCCCUACCUUCUUGGUUCAUUGUUAGUUGAAUCAUGAGUUUCUGACUUCUGAGAGAAAGAGUCGCCAUUUUUAGACCUUUGAAUUUUUUUGAGGUUUUGAAUUUUGAUGUUGGCUUAAUUAGCUGGAUUGUCACUUGUGAGGCAUUUCUUAGAAUGUGAUGGGUUUAAGUUGGUUCGGGUUGGCGGUUCGUGAGCUUGCUAUUAUUCUUGACGAAUUUUGAUGCUGAAAGACUUGGAAACCAUGCUGUCGACCACGUCGAGAAGCUGAGUAACAUUCUGCUUUUACAAUGGCACCGUUUUAAUAAAAGGAACUCAAGCCAUCACAAUCUAGGGCUUCCAUCAAAUCAUGCAGGCUGCAUGGAAGUCACAUUUACCGUUGCCGUGAACAUCAUGAAGACAUACACUAUUUGAAGUUUUAACAUUUUGGGAUUUCGUCAAGUCAACAGCUAUUUCCUUCAGGGUUUUGUUCUGUUAUGGAUUAUUUAAAGGGGAGUUUGUUGUAUGCAAGAAAGGCAGAUUCUGAAAGAAGUUUUGUUUAUUUGUUCCACUGUAGAGUAUCCUUUAAAGUUUAAAUGAAUUUGUAUUUAAAUCUUAAAUGAGUCAUCUAGUUU
RNAcentral lists this long non-coding RNA (640 nucleotides) under Daphnia pulex (common water flea). RNAcentral's name for it is "uncharacterized LOC124202286, transcript variant X1". The record is from RNAcentral. Lineage: Eukaryota; Metazoa; Arthropoda; Branchiopoda; Diplostraca; Daphniidae.